AUUGAACGCUGGCGGCAGGCCUAACACAUGCAAGUCGAACGGUAACAGGAAGAAGCUUGCUUCUUUGCUGACGAGUGGCGGACGGGUGAGUAAUGUCUGGGAAACUGCCUGAUGGAGGGGGAUAACUACUGGAAACGGUAGCUACUACCGCAUAACGUCGCAAGACCAAAAAGGGGGACCUCCGGGCCUCUUGCCAUCGGAUGUGCCCAGAUGGGAUUAGCUAGUAGGUGGGGUAACGGCUCACCUAGGCGACGAUCCCUAGCUGGUCUGAGAGGAUGACCAGCCACACUGGAACUGAGACACGGUCCAGACUCCUACGGGAGGCAGCAGUGGGGAAUAUUGCACAAUGGGCGAAAGCCUGAUGCAGCCAUGCCGCGUGUAUGAAGAAGGCCUUCGGGUUGUAAAGUACUUUCAGCGGGGAGGAAGGGAAGAAAGUUAAUACCUUGGCUCAUUGACGUUACCCGCAGAAGAAGCACCGGCUAACUCCGUG
Molecule: ribosomal RNA, 490 nt
Filed under: uncultured bacterium
Lineage: Bacteria
Description: partial 16S ribosomal RNA
Rfam family: Bacterial small subunit ribosomal RNA
Source: RNAcentral